CAGUGGGAAGCCAAAAUAGAGGCAUUUAACUGUUAAUUAAAAAAAUGUAAUUUAUAUUACUUCACUGG
This 68-nucleotide transfer RNA is filed under the name Idiosepius hallami. RNAcentral describes it as "tRNA-Asn". Lineage: Eukaryota; Metazoa; Mollusca; Cephalopoda; Idiosepiidae. The record is from RNAcentral.